This 253-nucleotide ribosomal RNA is filed under the name uncultured bacterium. Its description in RNAcentral is "partial 16S ribosomal RNA". It matches the Rfam family "Bacterial small subunit ribosomal RNA", at positions 524 to 776 of the family's 1533-position model. The record is from RNAcentral.
GACAGAGGCCCCAAGCGUUAGGCGGAAUCACUGGGCUUAAAGCGUGUGUAGGCGGACCCCUAAGUGUCUUGUGAAAUCCCACGGCUCACCCGUGGAACCGCUGGGCAUACUGGGGGUCUUGGGCCAUUCAGGGGCGACUGGAACAAGCGGUGGAGCGGUGAAAUGCGUAGAUAUCGCUUGGAACGCCGACGGUGAAAACAGGUCGCUGGGAAUGUGCCGACGCUGAGACACGAAAGCCAGGGGAGCGAACGGG